Molecule: long non-coding RNA, 569 nt
Filed under: Rattus norvegicus (Norway rat)
Lineage: Eukaryota; Metazoa; Chordata; Mammalia; Rodentia; Muridae
Description: long non-coding RNA NONRATT010362
Source: RNAcentral
UUGUUUAUGACUGCAUGGAGGUGCAGCUUUAAUACUUGAUUGUACAAACUUUUAGUCCUAUCUUUCAUAAAACCUGUUUUUUUAUGAUUGUUGUUUUCAGGACAAGAAUUAUCAACAAAAAUAGAGAAAAUGGGCAUACAGGGUAAGCCCCAGAAAGGAGAGACAGAUGCAGAGUUACAGGAAACUGAACCAGCCUUGGACAGCAGAAUAGAGAGAGCAACUUCCUGACCUUCUUAGGAUGGGCUGUUGGUUAGGGGUGGGGUCUCUUGGAUGAUAGUCAUCUGUAUGUAAGAGUUACCCUGGAUAGUUAUAGAUAGAAAAAAUAGAGAGAAAGAAGGAGAGAGCAAGUUUAGAAAUAUAAGAUUUUUAGAUCAUUUGUUUGUACAGUGGCAGAAUUGGCCCAUUAUUGAAAACUGAGCAUGCUAAUUUUAGCCAUUUGAGGCUAAGCUGUUUGUAGUAACAGUGAGAGGCUUUAAUAAAAUCUGAGCCCCUGGAGAGAAAGGGUCCCAAAAACUCUGCCAGAGGGAGUUUCUAUAAGCCUCAAGUAGAAGCUGAGAGAAAAGAAAAAA